GGUCGUCACCCCUCCCCUCCGCCGGAAAUCAAGGCCAAAGGAGAUGUCAUGGCUAUGGGCUGAAGCUUUGAGAAAAAAAGAAUGAAAAAUGAAAUGACAUCUACUGAUUAAAAUCAUGAGACCUCAUGCAUACGUGUAUACGCAUAGUUAUUAUAUUUAAAAGUUAUGAUUUUGGUAAUCAUCAUCAUGGGUAAAGUUUCAGUAGUGGUUUACAUGACACCAAGAGUUAAGAUUAAAGAGAAAACGAGUGAGUUGUACACUUAUAGAAUGGUAUUACUUUGGUUUAAGGACUUGUGAAUGAUCUAUAUGUUUUCUUUGUAAGAAGGAUAACAAGGUGGAGUCGAGGUCCAGCAAGGGUGCAACACUGAAUGAGCUGGUUGAGCUCAAAGGUUGUUCUUCCAGCCUAUUUUUCGAGUGCAGAAAACAUAAAGAUCUUUAUCUAUGUAUGGCAAAGUGCCCUAGUGGGCCAUCUGUGAAGUUUUUAGUUAAUGCCAUGCAUACAAUGGAAGAAUUGAAGCUUACAGGGAACCAUUUGAAAGGUUCCCGUCCAAUUUUGACAUUUUCAUCAAAUUUUGAUAAAGAUGUCCACUAGAAACUUCUG
Cucumis sativus (cucumber) is the source of this 601-nucleotide long non-coding RNA. RefSeq lists it as uncharacterized. NCBI's taxonomy places the organism in Eukaryota, Viridiplantae, Streptophyta, Magnoliopsida, Cucurbitales, Cucurbitaceae. The record is from RefSeq and is a predicted model, not a curated record. The transcript has 5 exons.